RNAcentral lists this ribosomal RNA (492 nucleotides) under uncultured bacterium. RNAcentral describes it as "partial 16S ribosomal RNA". It matches the Rfam family "Bacterial small subunit ribosomal RNA", at positions 29 to 507 of the family's 1533-position model. The record is from RNAcentral.
AGUGAACGCUGGCGGUAGGCCUAACACAUGCAAGUCGAACGGCAGCACAGUAAGAGCUUGCUCUUACGGGUGGCGAGUGGCGGACGGGUUAGGAAUACAUCGGAAUCUACUUUUUCGUGGGGGAUAACGUAGGGAAACUUACGCUAAUACCGCAUACGACCUACGGGUGAAAGCAGGGGAUCUUCGGACCUUGCGCGAUUGAAUGAGCCGAUGUCGGAUUAGCUAGUUGGCGGGGUAAAGGCCCACCAAGGCGACGAUCCGUAGCUGGUCUGAGAGGAUGAUCAGCCACACUGGAACUGAGACACGGUCCAGACUCCUACGGGAGGCAGCAGUGGGGAAUAUUGGACAAUGGGCGCAAGCCUGAUCCAGCCAUACCGCGUGGGUGAAGAAGGCCUUCGGGUUGUAAAGCCCUUUUGUUGGGAAAGAAAAGCAGCGGGUUAAUACCCCGCUGUUCUGACGGUACCCAAAGAAUAAGCACCGGCUAACUUCGUG